RNAcentral lists this ribosomal RNA (898 nucleotides) under uncultured Microsporidium. RNAcentral describes it as "SSU rRNA". The record is from RNAcentral. Lineage: Eukaryota; Fungi; Microsporidia.
GAUUGUGCCAGCAGCCGCGGUAAUACCUACUCCAGAAAUGUCUAUAAUUAAUGCUGCGAUUAAAGAGUUUGUAGUUGAGUAUGAUGACAAUAAAAUGACUUUGUUUAGAGAAGUUUUCAUUGUUAAGUAUAGCGGAAUGGAUAAGGAGUAUAGUACAACAAGGGAAKAGAUGAAAUUCCUAAAUCCAUGUUAGACUGACAGAAGCGAAAGCGAUACUCGUUAUACAUAUCAAAGAAUCAAGAACGGAGGUUAGGGUAUCGAAAGUGAUUAGAUACCACAGUAGUCCUAACAGUAAACAAUGCCAACAGUUCGUUUGUAGAUUAUAUGGUCAAGUGAUCUAUAAGUGAAUAAGAGAAAUCGAAAGUAUUUGGGCCACGGGGAGAGUACCGCCGCAAGGCAGAAACUUAAAAUGAAAUUGACGGAAGGACACUACAAAAAGUGGAUUGUACUGUUUAAUUUGACUCAACACGGGAAAACUUACCAAUAUCAAGUUAUGCGUAGAACGGAAGAAAAGAKAUCGGGAGUGUAACAGGAGUAGUGCAUGGUCGCUGGAAAUUGGUGGGAUGACUUUCAGCUUAAUUGCUUAAACCAAUGAGAUCUUUUGACUGAUGUAUAUUAUUUGCUUARUAUGAUGUGCAUUGAGACAUGUAUUGAGUGAUACAGGAAGGAAAAGGCUAUAGCAGAUCAGUUAUGCUCUCAGAUAUAUUGGGCUACAAGUGCAAUACAAUAUCAGCCUAAGAGUGGUAUUUAAUACUUUUUAAUUUUUUUGGAUUAAUUAAUAUUGGUUGAUGAUAGAAGGAUUUUAAUUUGUAAAGGUUAAAUGAAUAAGGAAUUUUUAGUAAUAAUGAUUCAUCAAGUCGUUAUGAAUAUGUCCCUGUUCUUUGUACACACCGCCCGU